This 350-nucleotide long non-coding RNA is filed under the name Capsella grandiflora. Its description in RNAcentral is "long non-coding RNA (CGRA_LNC001084)". Lineage: Eukaryota; Viridiplantae; Streptophyta; Magnoliopsida; Brassicales; Brassicaceae. The record is from RNAcentral.
CUUGCCCAUCGUAUCCGGUUCAACAGCUUCUCUACUUGGUAUGGGUUUACUGCACAAUGAGAUGCCAAAAAAAAAAGUACACGUGACUACACCGCAGGCACAACCCCAAGAAAAACGAAAGGAUGAAAAUAUAUAUUCAUACCGGGAGAAAUUGUGGCAGCUUGUCACAAAGAGCUAACCUUGGAACAAGGUCCUUGGUACAGAGACCAAGGAAAUUUCAGUGCAAAGCUAUAGCAGCAUAUAAUGAACGGAGGAAAGUGCCCCGUAGCACGGCAACAUUUCGGAUGGCGUAACCCCCACCACCCAAGAGCAGUAGGGGAAGAAAAGAAGAAUCAAUUAGACGAUGANNN